GGGAUCGAAAGACCUCAUGCUUUUGGAGCGGCCGAUGUCUGAUUAGCUAGUUGGUAGGGUAAUGGCCUACCAAGGCGACGAUCAGUAGUUGGUCUGAGAGGAUGGCCAGCCACACUGGGACUGAGACACGGCCCAGACUCCUACGGGAGGCAGCAGUGGGGAAUUUUGGACAAUGGGCGAAAGCCUGAUCCAGCAAUGCCGCGUGAGUGAAGAAGGCCUUCGGGUUGUAAAGCUCUUUCAGUUGAGAAGAAAAAAUUGUGACUAAUACUUGCAAUUCAUGACAGUAUCAACAGAAGAAGCACCGGCUAACUACGUGCCAGCAGCCGCGGUAAUACGUAGGGUGCAAGCGUUAAUCGGAAUUAUUGGGCGUAAAGGGUGCGCAGGCGGUUUUGUAAGUCAGAUGUGAAAUCCCCGGGCUUAACCUGGGAAUUGCGUUUGAA
Molecule: ribosomal RNA, 440 nt
Filed under: uncultured bacterium
Lineage: Bacteria
Description: bacterial SSU rRNA
Rfam family: Bacterial small subunit ribosomal RNA
Source: RNAcentral